Molecule: microRNA, 22 nt
Filed under: Cordylochernes scorpioides
Lineage: Eukaryota; Metazoa; Arthropoda; Arachnida; Pseudoscorpiones; Chernetidae
Source: RNAcentral
GGAAAUUCAUCGCUCUAGGGUG